ACUUAUAUAAUAUAAACAAUUAUAUUUAAUUUCCAAUUAAAAAAUCUAUAAUAUAGUAUAAGUA
This 64-nucleotide transfer RNA is filed under the name Euwallacea similis. Its description in RNAcentral is "tRNA-Gly". Lineage: Eukaryota; Metazoa; Arthropoda; Insecta; Coleoptera; Curculionidae. The record is from RNAcentral.